GCUCAACCGGGGAGGGUCAUUGGAAACUGGGAAACUUGAGUGCAGAAGAGGAGAGUGGAAUUCCACGUGUAGCGGUGAAAUGCGUAGAGAUGUGGAGGAACACCAGUGGCGAAGGCGACUCUCUGGUCUGUAACUGACGCUGAGGAGCGAAAGCGUGGGGAGCGAACAGGAUUAGAUACCCUGGUAGUCCACGCCGUAAACGAUGAGUGCUAAGUGUUAGGGGGUUUCCGCCCCUUAGUGCUGCAGCUAACGCAUUAAGCACUCCGCCUGGGGAGUACGGUCGCAAGACUGAAACUCAAAGGAAUUGACGGGGGCCCGCACAAGCGGUGGAGCAUGUGGUUUAAUUCGAAGCAACGCGAAGAACCUUACCAGGUCUUGACAUCCUCUGACAACCCUAGAGAUAGGGCUUUCCCUUCGGGGACAGAGUGACAGGUGGUGCAUGGUUGUCGUCAGCUCGUGUCGUGAGAUGUUGGGUUAAGUCCCGCAACGAGCGCAACCCUUGAUCUUAGUUGCCAGCAUUCAGUUGGGCACUCUAAGGUGACUGCCGGUGACAAACCGGAGGAAGGUGGGGAUGACGUCAAAUCAUCAUGCCCCUUAUGACCUGGGCUACACACGUGCUACAAUGGACAGAACAAAG
This 637-nucleotide ribosomal RNA is filed under the name uncultured bacterium. RNAcentral's name for it is "bacterial SSU rRNA". It matches the Rfam family "Bacterial small subunit ribosomal RNA", at positions 607 to 1244 of the family's 1533-position model. The record is from RNAcentral.